Molecule: ribosomal RNA, 458 nt
Filed under: uncultured bacterium
Lineage: Bacteria
Description: partial 16S ribosomal RNA
Rfam family: Bacterial small subunit ribosomal RNA
Source: RNAcentral
AACGAACGCUGGCGGCAUGCCUAACACAUGCAAGUCGAACGAGACCUUCGGGUCUAGUGGCGCACGGGUGCGUAACGCGUGGGAACCUGCCCUUAGGUUCGGAAUAACUCCCCGAAAGGGGUGCUAAUACCGGAUAAUGUCUUCGGACCAAAGAUUUAUCGCCUUUGGAUGGGCCCGCGUUGGAUUAGCUAGUUGGUAGGGUAAAAGCCUACCAAGGCGACGAUCCAUAGCUGGUCGGAGAGGAUGAGCAGCCACACUGGGAAUGAGAAACGGCCCAGACUCAUACGGGAGGCAGCAGUGGGGAAUAGUGGACGAUGGGAGAAAGCCUGAUGCAGCGAUGCGGCGUGUGUGAAGAAGGUCUUCGGAUUGUAAAGCAAUUUAAGUUGGGAGGAAGGGCAGUAAGUUAAAACCUUGGUGUUUAGACGUUACCAACAGAAUAAGCAACGGCUAACUGCGUG